RNAcentral lists this long non-coding RNA (475 nucleotides) under Nicotiana benthamiana. Its description in RNAcentral is "long non-coding RNA (NBEN_LNC015482)". The record is from RNAcentral. Lineage: Eukaryota; Viridiplantae; Streptophyta; Magnoliopsida; Solanales; Solanaceae.
AUCUUUUUUAAGAGUUACAACUCUUUUUCUGUGAAAAAAGAGAGAGAAAAACAACAAACACCCACUAUAUAUUACCUCUUUCAGAUCUAUUAAAGUUAGGUUUUGGGUCUCUCACUUUGUGUAUAGACAAAAAAACAACAAAUACCCACUGUAUAUUUCCUCUUUCAGAUCUAUUAAAGUUAGGUUUUUCGGUCUCUCUCACUUUGUGUAUAGACUAUAGAGAUAUGUAUCUUCGAAAAAACACUCACACACACAGUGAAGGGGUUUUUGCUGCUUUCUCUCCUCUCUCCGUGGGUUUGGGAUUUCUCUAUUGUGGGCUUCUUACUCCUUUAAUACUCGUAAAUAAAUGUGUUUUUCCUAAUCCCUUUUUUUUUUUUUUGGGGGAAAACCCUCUCUUUUCCUUUUUCUUUCUUUUCUCCCUGCCUUAAUAAAUAAAAGUUGUUAUAAAUAGAGAGAUUUUACACUUCUAUUUAAG